This 253-nucleotide ribosomal RNA is filed under the name uncultured bacterium. RNAcentral describes it as "partial 16S ribosomal RNA". It matches the Rfam family "Bacterial small subunit ribosomal RNA", at positions 524 to 776 of the family's 1533-position model. The record is from RNAcentral.
UACGUAGGGUGCAGGCGUUAAUCGGAAUUACUGGGCGUAAAGUGUGCGCAGGCGGCCAUGCAAGUCGAGUGUGAAAGCCCCGGGCUUAACUUGGGAAUUGCGCUCGAAACUACGUGGCUGGAGUGUGGCAGAGGAAGGUGGAAUUCCACGUGUAGCGGUGAAAUGCGUAGAGAUGUGGAGGAACACCGGUGGCGAAGGCGGCCAUCUGGCUCGGUACUGACGCUCAGGCGCGAAAGCGUGGGGAGCAAACAGG